CUAGAAAUAAUGUUUAACCACUUAUCUGGGCAUACUGAGGCCCAGUCAAUUUGACACAUAAAAUUAACUAUCACAAUGUGAUUCUAUGAUGUAAGAAAAUUGCCUUUAAACAGAAAGUUAAAAAGUUGCCUUGGGGUAGAAAUGUCAUCAUAUAUAGGGGUGUGUGUGUAUGUGUAUAAUAUAUAGUCAAAUUUAUUUCUCAAGAUUAAAAUAUCAAUUGCUUAAUAUACUUUUCAAAAAUUCCCCUCAAAUCAUACUAUCAAACUUGCACUUUUUGGGAAGCUCUUCUUCCUUAACACAUAUAUUUAGAUCACUCCUGAACUGUGCAUUCACCUGAUAAGAAAUCGGUAUGCAUUUGUUGAUUCAUGUAUACCCAUGUGUCUGUCCCCUAACUAGAACCUUCAAGGAUAAGAAUAAGCUGCUUAGUUUUCAUUUAUUCAGAGUGCCUAGGAUAGGGCUCUAAGUACAAAAGGACUUCACAUGUAGAUGUGCUCUGUCAUCAUUUAUAUAUUUUCCAGUUUACUAAUAGACGAAUGUUUCUUCUCCUCUAAGCAAUUUCUUUCCCUAUACUCUAUUUAGUUUCAUGAUUUUUAAGAAGUGACAUUUGCAAUUGCUUAAAUACUUCCUGUCAAUAGUCUAAGUUGUUCAAAAGAUGAGUUGAACUUUAGGUGAUAUUAUUUUCUGGAGAGAACUUUAGUCUCAUUUGAUACCAUACCCCAAGAAAAAUAUGCCGUGCCAUUUCAGACAGAUUUUAAACUUCCUGUUUAUCCCUCCUCCAGUGUGCCAGCUCCUCUGCAGAAUGAAAUGUCUCCAAAUCGCUGAGACUGUAAUUUCCAUGACAGUGUCGUCCAUCUCAUUUCUUGCCUGUCCUUUCAGUUUUAUGAAGGUGGAGCUGCAUUCCUGCAAAAUAUCCUGGUGGGAAGCCUAGCCCUUGAUUGGAGUAAGAAGAAGAUUGAGAUUUUUCCUUUCUGUUGGGUAUCAAGAACAGAUUUCCUUAUAGGUGACCAUAUUUACAGUUAUAUUUCAGAUUAAGUUUUUUGUUAUUGUAGUUUUAUUGUUUUCGGUUUUUUCCUGAACUUUAAUUCCUCUGUUGCCCUAAGCUAUCCGUCAAGUUUUUACUUUUUAUAAAUGUUAAAAAGCUUUGUGAAGUUAGAAAGCAGAAUGAUGUUAUCAUUUUGGGUAAAACAGAAUGCGAAGAGCCACAGCAACUCAUUACGCAAUGAGAGGCUGUGAUUUCAGGAGCUGAGCACGUUAGGUGCCAGUCUGUCCUAUGAGGUUAUGGAUGAAAAUCAAGCUGAAUCUGUGUAAUGUGAAAUUCUUCUUCACAGAUGCCCAGAGAUAUCAGGGAAAGAAAAACAGUAAAGGACUGGACUUCUU
RNAcentral lists this long non-coding RNA (1377 nucleotides) under Macaca mulatta (Rhesus monkey). Its description in RNAcentral is "lncRNA (ENSMMUG00000063455.1)". Lineage: Eukaryota; Metazoa; Chordata; Mammalia; Primates; Cercopithecidae. The record is from RNAcentral.